UCAAUAUUAUCGUCGAGGCAAAUAAGUUCAUGAUCCUAAACAAAAUAACAACUUUUUGUCUUUGCAUUGUUUCUGGCUCUACAACAUGCAAAAAUGGGUAGUUGUAGUAACCAUAUUUUGUUCGAGUCAAAUCUGAAUCAAGUUUGAAUUGACUUUGAAUUUUAUUAUUGUUAGUUUACUAUUAUGUCAUGUUUCUUGUUAUUUAUACAAUUAUAAUUUUUAAUUUUUAAUAUAAUAAAAAGAAAAAUGUAGAAUUAUAAAUAUAAAGAUAUAUGUGUGGUAGAAACCCAACUUUUUAUGUUAAAAGAUAAAUAUUGCAUAUAUCUAUGUGUGGCUAAACUUAUAUAUAUGUAUAUUAAGUAUAUUAUGUAUGUAGGGGGAAAUCAUUGAUUUUAAAAGUUUGAAAGUUAACUUCCA
RNAcentral lists this long non-coding RNA (417 nucleotides) under Gossypium barbadense (sea-island cotton). Its description in RNAcentral is "long non-coding RNA (GBAR_LNC014383)". The record is from RNAcentral. Lineage: Eukaryota; Viridiplantae; Streptophyta; Magnoliopsida; Malvales; Malvaceae.